GACGAACGCUGGCGGCGUGCUUAACACAUGCCAGUCGUACGGUAAGGCCCUUUCGGGGGUACACGAGUGGCGCACGGGUGAGUAACACGUGAGUAACCUGCCCACAACUUUGGGAUAACGCUAGGAAACUGGUGCUAAUACUGGAUAUGUGCUCCUGCUGCAUGGUGGGGGUUGGAAAGCUCCGGCGGUUGUGGAUGGACUCGCGGCCUAUCAGCUUGUUGGUGGGGUAGUGGCCUACCAAGGCGGCGACGGGUAGCCGGCCUGAGAGGGUGACCGGCCACAUUGGGACUGAGAUACGGCCCAGACUCCUACGGGAGGCAGCAGUGGGGAAUAUUGCACAAUGGGCGCAAGCCUGAUGCAGCAACGCCGCGUGCGGGAUGACGGCCUUCGGGUUGUAAACCGCUUUCAGCAGGGACGAAGCUUUCUGUGACGGUACCUGCAGAAGAAGCACCGGCUAACUACGUG
This 465-nucleotide ribosomal RNA is filed under the name uncultured bacterium. RNAcentral's name for it is "partial 16S ribosomal RNA". It matches the Rfam family "Bacterial small subunit ribosomal RNA", at positions 28 to 507 of the family's 1533-position model. The record is from RNAcentral.